AGAGGUUGUCUGAAGGCCGAGGGCAAGAUGGCGGCGCUGUCAGCUCCUGGCCUGCGCAGCUUCUGGAUCCUUGGUCUUCGCUCCAGCGUGGGCACAGCUGUGCAGGCACAAGGUGUUCAUCAGAGCGUGGCCACCGAUGGCCCAAGCAGCACCCAGCCUGCCCUGCCAAAGGCCAGAGCCGUGGCUCCCAAACCCAGCAGCCGGGGCGAGUAUGUGGUGGCCAAGCUGGAUGACCUCAUCAACUGGGCCCGCCGGAGUUCUCUGUGGCCCAUGACCUUCGGCCUGGCCUGCUGCGCCGUGGAGAUGAUGCACAUGGCCGCACCCCGCUACGACAUGGACCGCUUCGGCGUGGUCUUCCGCGCCAGCCCGCGCCAGUCCGACGUCAUGAUCGUGGCCGGCACACUCACCAACAAGAUGGCCCCAGCGCUUCGCAAGGUAGGCCUCGUCCCCGCCGCCCAGCCGCCCCCAGAGUGAGCUGCGCACGGACCCCGUCUCUCUUCCAGGUCUACGACCAGAUGCCGGAGCCGCGCUACGUGGUCUCCAUGGGGAGCUGCGCCAACGGAGGAGGCUACUACCACUACUCAUACUCGGUGGUGAGGGGCUGCGACCGCAUCGUGCCUGUGGACAUCUACAUCCCAGGUAGGGCCGGGACCGCACCGCCCACGAGGGAGCUGGGGACAGGGCCAGCGCCACACGGAGCCCGGCGGCCCCUGUGAGGGAGUCCCACACCCCAAGCAGACGGCGGGCUCCCCCAUCCUGUGGAUGGGCCGACUCGGGGCUCUCCCUCUUAGUGGAGCGUGUCCCCUAUGAGAAGUCAGCGAUGUAUUCAGGCAUCAGAGGGAUCAGAGGGAGGAGGGGAGGCGGAGUGGAAUUCCUGACACUCGCCUGGUUUACAGCAGUUUCAUAUGGUCCUGCCUGACAGAAACCAAAGACCUGCAGUUAGAAAUACCAAGAGAGAAGGUUCCUGGAGGCCAAGACACUAUCCCGCGCCCUCAGCCUUACAGAAGGGCACGAGGACUCCCUGGGACCCGGGGUGGCCGGAUUUGGCACAUGAAAACGUAGGAGGCUUAGUUUGACAGUGAGGUUAGGGUGAAUUUGACCAUCAGGAAAACAAUUAGUAGUAAUUGUUUAGUACGAGUAUAUCCCAACAAUAUUUGGGCUAUACUGACACUAAAAAGAGCAUU
This 1184-nucleotide small RNA is filed under the name Pongo abelii (Sumatran orangutan). RNAcentral's name for it is "retained intron". The record is from RNAcentral. Lineage: Eukaryota; Metazoa; Chordata; Mammalia; Primates; Hominidae.